UACCCUGCCUUGCGCUCGUUGCUGGCCAGGUAGGCUCGGGCUUCCCGCGACACCAUAUGGGAUAAAGCGGCUUGGUAAAUGACAUGACUUUAUUAGCCCUAUACAGUUUCUUGCAUUAGGAAUUCGUCUUUUCGCAUACCCCAGCUUGCUCUCCAUGAGACACACAGACACACAGGCAGUUGGAGUUAAGAGCCUUGCUCAGGGGCCCAAUGGAGUAGGAUUCCUCCACUGGCUGCGGGAUUUGAACCUGCAACCUUCCAGCCACAGGCGCAGAUCCUUAGCCACAGAACCACUGCUCUGUGACCUGCUGUUUUAUGUGACACCUCAGGAAUAGCUGAAACACAGGAUAGCAUCAUCAGGAAGAGCUACCAGAUCACAAAGGGGAUUGAUUACUCUUAAACCCACAUAUAUGGCAAUAACACGUCUGGACCUGAACUAUAAAACCCUCUACAACAGUGUGGGAAGUACACAGUGUGUGUGUUUCCUUCAGUGUGCUACAGAGGGGGCUGUUUUCGUCACAAUUAAAGUCAUCUCAAAUCUUCACUAGAUUUAGCUGUGACUCCUUGCUUCCCUUCAAACUCAUGGGUUCCUGCACGAACCAUAAGACUUGGACAGAAGGUACAUGUGAUUAUUCAGACUAUAACUCCGUGGCUGAGGUCUCUGUUUUCUAAUUCCAGCUUGAAUAAGAUUGUCUCCAGCUCGGAGGGCAGAAGUGCGACGGUCCUGAGUCUGCUGAGCUCCAUGAAGACCUGCAGGAUUGAGGAGAUAGAGGUGAAUGGCAUCCGGAUGGGAGACAGCGGAGUGCUGGAGCUAUGUCGGCACAUUCCUCUGUGGAAGGGACUGCGGAGAAUCAGGUGGGCAAAGACCGCUGUCUCUGCAGGGAGAUCAGACAGCAACCACAGAGCUUGCAAGGAAGAGAACAGAAAGGCGUGGGCCUCGCAUGGUCCAUGGUCUGGUCAGAGUUCAGCCUUAUCAUCUGGUGCCACAGUGUUUGGACCACAGGGUGUAACGGGAGCUGGUCCUGACUCCUGUGAAGUGUGUAGUUUAGGACCCUGUGCAGACGGUAUUAUCUGGAAGUGACUGGAAAACAUGGUGAGGAACGGAAGGGAUGGCGAACAGGGGACGGCGCCUACAGUGAUCCAGGUGCCGGGAGGGGGGUGCAGGCAAACAAGUCCAAAAUGGUCCAAAGGGGAAAUCAGGUGCGCAGUCCAAAAUCCCAAACCAGGUGAUCCCUCCAAGACAAGACAUGAAUAAAAACAGGAACAGGAUCAGGGACAAGGUAGUUAAAACGAGGCCAGGUGCUCCGAGCUGGUCAGGACGCCAAUCGGAAGCCUAUGCCUUCAAGCCACAGAUGUAGGGCGACUUGAUGCUAGGCGGGCCUCUGGGUGUCCGUCUUCCAAUGCAGAGCCCUGAGCUUCAGAGGCACGAGGUUUAA
RNAcentral lists this long non-coding RNA (1435 nucleotides) under Lepisosteus oculatus (spotted gar). Its description in RNAcentral is "lncRNA (ENSLOCG00000022066.1)". The record is from RNAcentral. Lineage: Eukaryota; Metazoa; Chordata; Actinopteri; Semionotiformes; Lepisosteidae.